UUAGGAAUUUUGCGCAAUGGGGGAAACCCUGACGCAGCAAUGCCGCGUGAAGGAUGAAGGCCUUCGGGUUGUAAACUUCUUUCGACCGGGAAAAAACAAAUGAUGGUACCGGGAGAAGAAGCACCGGCUAACUACGUGCCAGCAGCCGCGGUAAUACGUAGGGUGCAAGCGUUACUCGGAUUUAUUGGGCGUAAAGCGCAUGUAGGCGGUUUUGUAAGUUUGAUGUGAAAGCCCUGGACUCAAUUCAGGAACUGCAUUGAAUACUGCAAGGCUAGAGUAUGAGAGAGGUAGGCGGAAUUCUUGGUGUAGAGGUGAAAUUCGUAGAUAUCAAGAGGAACAACAGAAGCGAAGGCGGCUUACUGGAUCAUUACUGACGCUGAGAUGCGACAGUGUGGGGAGCAAACAGG
RNAcentral lists this ribosomal RNA (407 nucleotides) under uncultured bacterium. RNAcentral describes it as "bacterial SSU rRNA". It matches the Rfam family "Bacterial small subunit ribosomal RNA", at positions 355 to 776 of the family's 1533-position model. The record is from RNAcentral.